ACGAGAUGCCAAUGACACACCCCG
This 24-nucleotide non-coding RNA is filed under the name Arabidopsis thaliana (thale cress). Lineage: Eukaryota; Viridiplantae; Streptophyta; Magnoliopsida; Brassicales; Brassicaceae. The record is from RNAcentral.